UUUUUAAAUCUUCCUGGAGGAGCUUGCCAUUAAACCGAUAAUCCACGAUAUACCUCACCAAUCUUUGAAAAUAACCAACUUGUAUACCAUCGUCGUCAGUAUACUUCUUAAGAACAGUAUACAAAAAGAACUAUAAAUUUUCUUCCUAACGUCAGAUCGAGGUGCAGUUAAUAGAUUGGCAAUGAGUGAGCUACAAUAUUUUAACAAAACAUUUUUAUUAAUUAAAAUUUUGGAAAAACCUAUGAAAAACCCUUAUAAAAAGAAUUCAGUAGUAAUAUAAUUUAAGAUAAAUUUUAUGAAAAAUUAGCUCUAAAAUACGC
Molecule: ribosomal RNA, 320 nt
Filed under: Hymenaster latebrosus
Lineage: Eukaryota; Metazoa; Echinodermata; Asteroidea; Velatida; Pterasteridae
Description: partial 12S ribosomal RNA
Source: RNAcentral